RNAcentral lists this ribosomal RNA (584 nucleotides) under Phlebiella sp. KUC9022. RNAcentral's name for it is "LSU rRNA". It matches the Rfam family "Eukaryotic large subunit ribosomal RNA", at positions 66 to 634 of the family's 3401-position model. The record is from RNAcentral. Lineage: Eukaryota; Fungi; Basidiomycota; Agaricomycetes; Xenasmatellaceae.
UAACAAGGAUUCCCCUAGUAACUGCGAGUGAAGCGGGAAAAGCUCAAAUUUAAAAUCUGGUAGCCUUCGGUUGCCCGAGUUGUAGUCUGGAGAAGCGUCUUCCGCGCUGGACCGUGUACAAGUCUCUUGGAACAGAGCGUCAUAGAGGGUGAGAAUCCCGUCUUUGACACGGACUACCAGUGCUUUGUGAUGCGCUCUCAAAGAGUCGAGUUGUUUGGGAAUGCAGCUCAAAAUGGGUGGUAAAUUCCAUCUAAAGCUAAAUAUUGGCGAGAGACCGAUAGCGAACAAGUACCGUGAGGGAAAGAUGAAAAGCACUUUGGAAAGAGAGUUAAACAGUACGUGAAAUUGCUGAAAGGGAAACGCUUGAAGUCAGUCGCGUCGUCCAGAACUCAACCUGGCUUUUGCUUGGUGCACUUUCUGGUUGACGGGCCAACAUCAGUUUUGACUGUCGAAAAAAGUCCUUAGGAAUGUGGCACCCUCGGGUGUGUUAUAGCCUUUGGUCGUACGCGAUGGUUGGGACUGAGGACCGCAGCACGCCUUAUGGCCGGGGUUCGCCCACGUACGUGCUUAGGAUGUUGGCGUAA